Molecule: long non-coding RNA, 826 nt
Organism: Pygocentrus nattereri (red-bellied piranha)
Lineage: Eukaryota; Metazoa; Chordata; Actinopteri; Characiformes; Serrasalmidae
Exons: 2
Source: RefSeq, a predicted model, not a curated record
GCUCUAGCCAUUUUUGGCAGCAGGUUGCAGGUCGCUGACGGUGAAAGAAAAUGGAUAUACGGCGUUUUUUCAAGGAGAAAGUGAACUUGCUGCAGCCCAAUAUCUCCUUCAGUGCUCCUGAUGGAUGGUUUCCACUGGGGACCUCAGUGGCCAGAGGUGACCAGGGGCCACAGCUUCUCCAUCAUCUGCUCCACCAAAGCACAGUAUCCAGGAGGCUCCUUCCAAUUGGAGUUCAGUGGAUCCAGUAUCACCAGAACUCAGUCAGCUGUUAACCACUCAACCACCUUCUUUCCUGAGGCAGAUCUUGUCCAUCAGGGAAAAUACAGCUGUUUUUAUGAAGUAACUGUCUUUAUGAACCUUCAGGUGUCCCAACACUGAACUCUUGGUUGUUACUGUGAAAGGUACAGUAACAUGCACAAUAUUUGCUCAUUUGCUGUCUUCGAAGAAAAUCUUAAUCUCUCACAGCAUCACUGGCUCCUUUCAUCGGUUCUGGAGUGGCAGGACUGUUACUCAAAUUAAUGACAAUCAUCAUUUUCUUCAUGAAAAGUUGUAAAAAACAAAAAGAUCAGCUGGUUGUAAAGACAGGUCAUAAACAUUGUGGGUACUUGCUGUAUUGAUUACACCGCAUUUAUACAGGGUGAUUCAAAAAGAUUAAUCUGACUUCAAAUUGCCAUAUUUUUACAAGCAUGAGGCACCGAGGAACCAAUCACAUUCCAAUUGAAAGAGGGGGUUUUAGAGUUUCUGACUGUUUUUGGCCUGUCUCUCAUUUACGAUUUUGUCUUGCCCCUUUUUGCCUUCUAGAGAAUAAACAUCUCUUUUAUCGUGA